RNAcentral lists this ribosomal RNA (233 nucleotides) under uncultured Actinomycetales bacterium. RNAcentral describes it as "partial 16S ribosomal RNA". It matches the Rfam family "Bacterial small subunit ribosomal RNA", at positions 97 to 334 of the family's 1533-position model. Lineage: Bacteria; Bacillati; Actinomycetota; Actinomycetes; Actinomycetales. The record is from RNAcentral.
GGCGAACGGGUGAGUAACACGUGGGUGAUCUGCCCUGCACUCUGGGAUAAGCCUGGGAAACUGGGUCUAAUACCGGAUAGGACCAUGCUUUAGUGUGUGUGGUGGAAAGUUUUUCGGUGUAGGAUGAGCCCGCGGCCUAUCAGCUUGUUGGUGGGGUAAUGGCCUACCAAGGCGGCGACGGGUAGCCGGACUGAGAGGUUGGUCUGCCACAUUGGGACUGAGAUACGGCCCAG